AGAGUUUGAUCCUGGCUCAGGACGAACGCUGGCGGCGCGCUUAACACAUGCAAGUCGAGCGAGAACCAGGACUUCGGUCCUGGGGACAGCGGCGAACGGGUGAGUAACACGUGGAUAACCUGCCCUCGGCACCGGGAUAGCCCGAGGAAACUCGGAUUAAUACCGGAUAGCCUUUCCGACUCUCGGGUCGGUUCGAAAAGGUAGCUUCGGCCUCUGGCCGGGGAUGGGUCCGCGGCGGAUUAGCUAGUUGGUGGGGUAACGGCCUACCAAGGCGACGAUCCGUAGCUGGUCUGAGAGGACGAUCAGCCACACUGGGACUGAGACACGGCCCAGACUCCUACGGGAGGCAGCAGUGGGGAAUCUUGCGCAAUGGGCGAAAGCCUGACGCAGCGACGCCGCGUGAGGGAGGAAGGCCUUCGGGUUGUAAACCUCUUUUAAGAGAGAAGAAGCUACUCGGGUUAAUAGCCCAGAGGGUGACGGUAUCUCUGAAUAGCC
RNAcentral lists this ribosomal RNA (495 nucleotides) under uncultured Rubrobacterales bacterium. RNAcentral's name for it is "bacterial SSU rRNA". It matches the Rfam family "Bacterial small subunit ribosomal RNA", at positions 8 to 492 of the family's 1533-position model. The record is from RNAcentral. Lineage: Bacteria; Bacillati; Actinomycetota; Rubrobacteria; Rubrobacterales.